UACUACCGAAGCUACGGCAUCAGUAAUGAUGGGUAGGGGAGCUUCCCAUACGGGUUGAAGCAUGACCGUAAGGACAUGUGGACAGUAUGGGAGUGAGAAUGUUGGCAUGAGUAGCGAGAUGUGGGUGAGAAUCCCACAGGCCGUAAACCCAAGGUUUCCAGGGGAAGGUUCGUCCGCCCUGGGUUAGUCGGGACCUAAGCUGAGGCCGAAAGGCGUAGGUGAUGGACAACAGGUUGAUAUUCCUGUACUACCGAUAACCGUUUGAGAGAAGGGAUGACACAGUAGGAUAAGCUAAGCACACUGUUGGUUAUGUGUGCCCAAGCAUUGAGGCAGUCAAAGUAGGCAAAUCCGCUUUGAUAAUGCUGGGAUGUGAUGGGGAGCGAAAUUUAGUAGCGAAGUAGCUGAUUUCACACUGUCAAGAAAAGUCUCUAUCGAGGUUAAAGGUACCCGUACCGCAAACCGACACCGGCGGGUGAGGAGAGUAUCCUAAGGCCAGCGAGAGAACUGUUGUUAAGGAACUCGGCAAAAAGACCCCGUAACUUAGGGAUAAGGGGUUCCAUCAUCGGGGGGACGGAGAGAAUAGGCCCAAGCGACUGUUUACCAAAAACAUAGGUUUCUGCUAAGUCGCAAGACGAUGUAUAGGAGCUGACGCCUGCCCGGUGCUGGAAGGUUAAGGGGAUCUGUUAGAGCAAUCGAAGCAGUGAACUUAAGCCCCAGUAAACGGCGGCCGUAACUAUAACGGUCCUAAGGUAGCGAAAUUCCUUGUCGGGUAAGUUCCGACCCGCACGAAAGGCGUAACGAUUUGGGCACUGUCUCAACAACAGACUCGGUGAAAUUGUAAUUCCGGUGAAGAUGCCGGAUACCUGCGACAGGACGGAAAGACCCCAUGGAGCUUUACUGUAGCUUGACAUUGGGUCUUGGUACUACAUGUACAGGAUAGGUGGGAGGCUUUGAAACCAGGACGCCAGUUUUGGCGGAGCCAUCCUUGGGAUACCACCCUUGUAGUACUGGGACUCUAACCAUAGGCCAUGAAUCUGGUCUUGGGACACUGUCAGGUGGGCAGUUUGACUGGGGCGGUCGCCUCCCAAAAGG
This 1092-nucleotide ribosomal RNA is filed under the name Clostridioides difficile. Its description in RNAcentral is "bacterial LSU rRNA". It matches the Rfam family "Bacterial large subunit ribosomal RNA", at positions 1189 to 2297 of the family's 2925-position model. The record is from RNAcentral. Lineage: Bacteria; Bacillati; Bacillota; Clostridia; Peptostreptococcales; Peptostreptococcaceae.